This 281-nucleotide unclassified non-coding RNA is filed under the name Hevea brasiliensis (rubber tree). The record is from RNAcentral. Lineage: Eukaryota; Viridiplantae; Streptophyta; Magnoliopsida; Malpighiales; Euphorbiaceae.
AAUGACAUGAGUACUGAAAUGAGGUCAGACUCCUUGAGCCGCUUUGAAGCGGCUCUAAACAGACGACAAAUUUGUGAUUGAUGCAAGGAACAUAUUACAUUGUUCAAUUUCCAUUGUCUAAGGUUUUAUUCCUGAUUCAUUCAAGGAACAGGUACUGUUAUGCAACUUCCCUAUAUGCCCCUGUUGUCAUAGAUUAUAUUCCUGCAAUAGUAUUGUUGUCAUAUUUAAUAUCCAGAUCUUCUGUAUAGUUUUACACAUCAGUUAAAUUACGCAUUUUGAAU